RNAcentral lists this ribosomal RNA (387 nucleotides) under uncultured bacterium. RNAcentral describes it as "partial 16S ribosomal RNA". It matches the Rfam family "Bacterial small subunit ribosomal RNA", at positions 523 to 918 of the family's 1533-position model. The record is from RNAcentral.
AUACGGAGGAUGCGAGCGUUAUCCGGAUUUAUUGGGCGUAAAGAGUGAGCAGGCGGUUAAUUAAGUCUGAGGUUAAAGCGUGGGGCUCAACCCCAUAAAGCCUUGGAAACUGAUUGACUAGAGUACGGGAGAAGUGAAGGGAACUCCAUGUGUAGCGGUGAAAUGCGUAGAUAUAUGGAAGAACACCAGUGGCGAAGGCGCUUCACUAGCCCGAAACUGACGCUCAGUCACGAAAGCGUGGGUAGCAAAUAGGAUUAGAUACCCUAGUAGUCCACGCUGUAAACGAUGACAACUAAAUAUUGCCGCGAGGCAGUGUUGAAGCUAACGCAUUAAGUUGUCCGCCUGGGAGUACGGUCGCAAGACUGAAACUUAAAGGAAUUGACGGGG